CGGGUGAGUAAUGUCUGGGAAACUGCCUGAUGAGGGGGAUAACUACUGGAAACGGUAGCUAAUACCGCAUAACGUCGCAAGACCAAAGAGAGGGACCUUCGGGCCUCUUGCCAUCGGAUGUGCCCAGAUGGGAUUAGCUAGUAGGUGGGGUAACGGCUCACCUAGGCGACGAUCCCUAGCUGGUCUGAGAGGAUGACCAGCCACACUGGAACUGAGACACGGUCCAG
RNAcentral lists this ribosomal RNA (227 nucleotides) under uncultured bacterium. Its description in RNAcentral is "partial 16S ribosomal RNA". It matches the Rfam family "Bacterial small subunit ribosomal RNA", at positions 103 to 334 of the family's 1533-position model. The record is from RNAcentral.